AUGUCAUGUAAUAUAGAGUUAAUACAGAAAAUAAAGGAGAAAAAGAUUAGAAUAGAGAUACUGCCCCCAUUCGGUUGUGUCUCUUUUAUCAAGUGCUUGAUUGAUUCUUGUCCCCCCAUGUCAUUGCAAGUUGCAUCUUGCAAAACACAUCGAACAGUAAAGAAGAUUAGAAGAGUUGAAGACAUAACCCAGCUGUGCCACUCCCAGAUGACAUGCUCUACAAGCAUUCAUGAGCAGGAUGAUAUUAAGCUAGGAAAAAGAAGCACUGAAGCAGACAAGCAGUACUACACUAGUAGUCUAGUACACUACUACUACAAUCUACAGGCAUUCAAAGAGCAGCAGCUAGCAAGCAGCAAGCACAACAUCCAGCAGCUUAAUGGAAGAUCAAAUCUGAAUAAAACAGGUCAAGAAGUGGAGGAGAGGGUGCGAGUUCAGGGAUUGGAGAGGGUUACCUGCCGUCAGGAGAAGAGGCUGCUGCCUCCUGGUGUGGGGGUGUGGUGGCCGGUCGGAUCCAAGCGUCGCCGGCGGCGGCGGCGGCGAAUCCAGACAGCGGCGGCUUCGUUCCAGGAGGUGGCGGCUUCGAUCCAGAAGAGACUGGGACCUGGGAGUCCCUCGUUGUUGUGUGGAGAGCUGCGUGUGAUUCCUGCAAAAAUAGGGUUUCGUUUUGGGCCAUGGCUGUUUUUGGGCUGGGCCGUAUCCCGUCCUUGUCACGUACGUGUCCCGCCGUGUCCCUGGUUUUUUUUAAUCGAAAAUCAGGGGAUACUGGGGAUACACGUAUCCAGCCGUAUCCCGUCGUGUCAACACGGCCAAUUGGCAAUUCCUGCCGUGUCCAUGCUUUUUAGCCCAUAG
Molecule: ribosomal RNA, 849 nt
Filed under: Triticum aestivum (bread wheat)
Lineage: Eukaryota; Viridiplantae; Streptophyta; Magnoliopsida; Poales; Poaceae
Description: partial small subunit ribosomal RNA
Source: RNAcentral